UUCUUCCUCGUUCUUCAUUUCUUCUCCUUUCUUCUUCUCUUCACCGAAUGGGAGAGUGAGAUGGAGAGUUUGAGGGAGUUGAGAGACAGAGAUAUGAGACCAAGAGAGGGAGUCGAGAGAUUGGGGGAGUGAUCGGGAGAGGAGUGAUCGGAGCCCGAUCCUCCGAUGGGUGGCGCCGACGAGACCAGAGGGCGCCGGCGACGCGAUCUCCGGUGAGCCCGUGAACCAGAGAUGACCCGAGAGAGAGAGAGAGAGAGAACCCGAAACCCGUAGAACCCGUGACCCACGACCCGUGAGGACCCAAUUCUCCAUGAUCGGUGACUGGGACUGAAAUCCGGCGAUGGAGGAGCUCCGGCGGAAUCCAAGAGCUUGAACCCGCGACCUGUGAGCCCAGAAAAUCCGAGAACCCGUGACCGUGACCCGUGUGACCUGCAACCCGCCAGACCUGAGAAGAAGACCCGGUUCUUCAAAGUGAUUUCCGGCGACUUUUCCGGCAGAAUCAGUGGCGUUUUUCGGUGGAUUUGCUAUGAAAAUCCUUGGGGAUCGUGUUAUAAUUGGAGACUUCAAUGGGUUCUCCAAUGUAGAGUUCGAGUUGGAGUCCAAUGCAGCUAAGAUGGUGUUUCUUUGGCUGCAGGUACUUGGGUAUAGUUGAUGGGUUGGUAGCAGUGUACUUGGGAUAUUAUGACUGAAGCUCGCCGCGACAGUUGUAAUUGUCGGACCACGGGUUGUCCACUAUUUUAUAGGUUAGGUAUGACUUGUGACGUUUGUGUCACUUAUUCUUUGUUAAGCCAUUAUUGUUAUGUAAUGAUUGUGUUAAUAAAGACUCAAACAGAUAGACGUUAAAUGACUCAAUGUUGUAAUUAAGUUGUGAUAGAUGUAUAAGUUGUAAUUUUCGCUAUUCAGAUU
This is a long non-coding RNA of Alnus glutinosa, 906 nucleotides long. RefSeq lists it as uncharacterized. The record is from RefSeq and is a predicted model, not a curated record. NCBI's taxonomy places the organism in Eukaryota, Viridiplantae, Streptophyta, Magnoliopsida, Fagales, Betulaceae. The transcript is spliced from 3 exons.